UUAGUGCAAGAAGCUUAUUAAAACCAAGAAUUAUGGUAUCGAUAACCAUUUUAUAUGCACAAAGAUCAUUUCAUUAUUGGCCAAAUGGAAAACAAAUAUGUUCAUGCCAUAUUGUUUGAAGCUACUCAAUGAAUAACAUCCAGUAUGACAUGAACCUUUUGAAUAAAUUGGAAUCAUAGAUAUCUAAAUAAGCAACAUCCACCUUCAGGACCUGAUGCACAUAAGAAAUGGCCUCUCAGGAACCAUAUCCAUUCAAGUAGGCUGUAAAGGGAAAGAAAAAUAAAGUUAAAUGAUUAACAAUGUUGAUAGCACAUACCAAAUGACAGGACCAGGAGAUAUGCAGUCAAUAAGCAUGGGAAGGAAAUGCCUUUCCUUAUAUCCUUAGAAGUGAUCCUUAGGAAACGAUAAGAGAACAAGAGUCGGCAUGCACCAUACUAUUAUCGAUACAUUGACUAAGCAAUCAGAAUAAUAUACUUCUCAACAUUUAAUCUGUAUGUUAAAACAAAGGCAAGUGUGCUCUUAUUUGGAUCAUAGAAAACCCAGCAUGACUACUUGACUGCUAUUAUUCCCAGAGGCAAGUUUGGGAAUAUGAUAUCUUUGUAUGAUACUCAAUUCAGUUGAGAAUAUAGCAAGAAACAUCAUCCCACUGUGUAAUCUCUCUCCUUUAUUUGCGUGAUACUUCCCUAAAGCCAACGCCAUGUGGAAUCUUUCUCUACAGUUCACUUGUAUAUACAGGGACCAAUUUGAUCUUUUUCGCAUGAAUGCACCAAUUUUAAGCUACAACCACAGACCACAGAAAAGAGACCAAGAGGAUGUUUUACCCUACCUACAUGAUACAUCUAUAAAUAGCAAAACCACCCUGGAAAUAAACUACAAGUAGAAUGGCACCUGCAUGAAACCAAUCUGUUCUAGCUUCUGAGGUAUGUUAUUAACAAAAUACUAAGACAUUCAUAAACCUUCUUGGCCACAUGCAGUCACAUAGUGUGCCAUGUGAGUCAACAGAUUACUAAACGUAAAUGACAACAUUAUAAUAGCAAAGCACUUGAGUCAACAGAGUACUACACGCAAAUGACAGUAAAACAUGACAACCCAAUGCCAUCCUGCUAUUCAAGCAUUUCUUUAAUCAGGGUUAGAUGCAAGAAUGAAAUUUUGUAGACAAGCAAGAGCAUGUACGACUGUAAUCUAGUAGUAUGAAAUUAGCAAGAACGCGUAUAGUUUUCCAGAAAUACUAAAUACUCCCUCCGACCCAAAAUUCUUGUCUUAGAUUUUUCUAAAUACGAAUGUAUCAAGUCACAUUUUAGUAUUAGAUACAUCCGUAUCUAGACAAAGCUACGACAAGAAUUUUGGGAUGGAGGGAGUACUAAAUAGAAAAAAUCACAUGCUUUUCCUGUUUGAAUUGAUUUAAAAUCUUAUUACUAAUACAUAUAACCAUAUUGACAGGUUUCCUAACUAUAAUCAUUCAGUUUGAUGGAUUAAUCCCUACCCACCUAGUACUGAAAUGAGAAUCAGCUCUGCUUUCAUUCAUGAUGCAAACUCUUGCACGUAAGAACUAAAUUUGAAUCUAGAGGGAGAGGGCGGCUAGAGACUGUGAGGGAGGAAGGAGAGGAAGAUUACUCAUGCCAUGCAAAACUCCUGUAGUGCACGUGGUUUUGAUGGCACACUACAGGUAGGUGCUCAGAGUACUCCAAACUCCUACAAAACUGUACACAAACAGAGUACUUCAGUAGACGAGCCGUUCAAUUGGAGGAGUUCGAAAUUGUAAACAAACUCGUGAAAGUUCAUGUAAUGUUUGCUGCAACAGAAAAGAAGGUGAUCUUGAUAUUAGAGAACCAGUAACGUUUGCAAUAGCAAAAGGUUGGCAUCACCACGAGUAAGCAUAUGAAACACAUGAAGGUUUUCUCUCCUUUUUUGUAAAGUGAACAUGCAUUGGCUUUUAUCCAUUGAGACGUUGACCAAAGAGGCCCUACAUAUAUAUCGUGUACCUUGCUCCUCAAAAACAACAACUCUGUCCUAAGGGGAAAACAUUUAGGGAUUUUUUUAUCACAAGCUAUUUUACUAAUUCAAUUUUCAACAAUAACACUAGGUACGUACAAAUGGCUAGAAAUUCCUAGAGCGACCAAAAUGAAUAGAAACAGGAGUGGAACUUUGGUAAUGCUGGAAAGCUUCCAUUAUUUUUAGGUUGCCAUUGUAACGUUAAAAUAUUCUAACUCCAUUAAAAGGACAUAUUUUGAAAUGAUUUGGCAACACAACCAAAAAUAGGGGCAAACCUAUCACAGUUUUAGGGCAUGAUAGUAUGUAGACAGAAUGACCUAUUAGUUUGUAGAUAACAAAGCACAAAGUUAGAUGAAAGAAAUAUAUGAUUGACCUGUUACUGAAGAGAAAUAAUCACAUCUGGACAAGCACCUCAAAAUGUCCUUUUGACCAAUUACGCAACUGGAC
This 2439-nucleotide long non-coding RNA is filed under the name Triticum aestivum (bread wheat). RNAcentral's name for it is "long non-coding RNA (TAES_LNC016636)". The stretch from base 1230 to 1364 matches the Rfam family "MIR1120/MIR1122 microRNA precursor family". Lineage: Eukaryota; Viridiplantae; Streptophyta; Magnoliopsida; Poales; Poaceae. The record is from RNAcentral.